CCUACGGGGGACAGCAGUAGGGAAUCUUCCACAAUGGGCGAAAGCCUGAUGGAGCAACGCCGCGUGGGUGAAGAAGGUCUUCGGAUCGUAAAACCCUGUUGUUAGAGAAGAAAGUGCGUGAGAGUAACUGUUCACGUUUCGACGGUAUCUAACCAGAAAGCCGCGGCUAACUACGUGCCAGCAGCCGCGGUAAUACGUAGGUGGCAAGCGUUAUCCGGAUUUAUUGUGCGUAAAGGGAACGCAGGCGGUCUUGUAAGUCUGAUGUGAAAGCCAUCGGCUUAACCGGAGUAGUGCAUUGGAAACUGGGAGACUAGAGGGCAGAAGAGGAGAGUGGAACUCCAAGUGUAGCGGUGAAAUGCGUAGAUAUAUGGAAGAACACCAGUGGCGAAGGCGGCUCUCUGGUCAGUAACUGACGCUGAGGUUCGAAAGCGUGGGUAGCAAACAGGAUUAGAUACCCCAGUAGUC
This 465-nucleotide ribosomal RNA is filed under the name uncultured bacterium. RNAcentral's name for it is "partial 16S ribosomal RNA". It matches the Rfam family "Bacterial small subunit ribosomal RNA", at positions 338 to 795 of the family's 1533-position model. The record is from RNAcentral.